AACUAGGUCGAGGUACGCACAUUCAAGCCUAUCCCAAGCCUCCGGUGGAAAGUACUUCUUGUUAAACUCGUCUUCGAAAUCCGCAAAGGACCGGACCUCGUCCCCUC
Molecule: small RNA, 107 nt
Filed under: Arabidopsis thaliana (thale cress)
Lineage: Eukaryota; Viridiplantae; Streptophyta; Magnoliopsida; Brassicales; Brassicaceae
Description: ATSL077210
Source: RNAcentral